This 492-nucleotide ribosomal RNA is filed under the name uncultured bacterium. RNAcentral's name for it is "partial 16S ribosomal RNA". It matches the Rfam family "Bacterial small subunit ribosomal RNA", at positions 29 to 507 of the family's 1533-position model. The record is from RNAcentral.
AGUGAACGCUGGCGGUAGGCCUAACACAUGCAAGUCGAACGGCAGCACAGUAAGAGCUUGCUCUUACGGGUGGCGAGUGGCGGACGGGUGAGGAAUACAUCGGAAUCUACUUUUUCGUGGGGGAUAACGUAGGGAAACUUACGCUAAUACCGCAUACGACCUACGGGUGAAAUCAGGGGAUCUUCGGACCUUGCGCGAUUGAAUGAGCCGAUGUCGGAUUAGCUAGUUGGCGGGGUAAAGGCCCACCAAGGCGACGAUCCGUAGCUGGUCUGAGAGGAUGAGCAGCCACACUGGAACUGAGACACGGUCCAGACUCCUACGGGAGGCAGCAGUGGGGAAUAUUGGCCAAUGGGCGCAAGCCUGAUCCAGCCAUACCGCGUGGGUGAAGAAGGCCUUCGGGUUGUAAAGCCCUUUUGUUGGGAAAGAAAAGCAGCAGGUUAAUACCCCGCUGUUCUGACGGUACCCAAAGAAUAAGCACCGGCUAACUUCGUG